RNAcentral lists this signal recognition particle RNA (266 nucleotides) under Clostridia bacterium. RNAcentral describes it as "signal recognition particle sRNA large type". It matches the Rfam family "Bacterial large signal recognition particle RNA". Rfam says of the family: The signal recognition particle (SRP) is a universally conserved ribonucleoprotein involved in the co-translational targeting of proteins to membranes. The record is from RNAcentral. Lineage: Bacteria; Bacillati; Bacillota; Clostridia.
CUGUGCUAAGCGGGGAGCUAGUGGUGCCCUUUACCCGCAACCCACUACAGCGGGGCCGAAUACCUUUUGGACGGCUGUCAGGGUGGAAAGCAGGCACUCGUAAGGAACGUAGAUACCAAGGUCUCGUGCAAUAUUUACCUGUGAACCGUGUCAGGGCAGGGAUGCAGCAGCACUAAGCGGAGUUAAGUAUGUGCCACGAGGAAGCUUUGGAGUAGUCACCUGCGGGGAUACCGUUUCGGUCUUGUCAGUCAACCAAGGUUGCACAG